RNAcentral lists this ribosomal RNA (654 nucleotides) under Triticum aestivum (bread wheat). Its description in RNAcentral is "partial small subunit ribosomal RNA". The record is from RNAcentral. Lineage: Eukaryota; Viridiplantae; Streptophyta; Magnoliopsida; Poales; Poaceae.
UCUCGGCCUCCUUCCUGUGCUGUGCUAGCGCGGCGCGCGUUGGCUGUGGUGCUGAAGUGCGUGGACGUCCUGUCGGAGGUGCUCGCCUUCAUUCAAUGGUUCAAGAGCAAGACGGUGGUGGUGAAGUACGGCUGCGCGGCCAUUAAGUCGCCGGAGCUGCAGGCGUCGAUGAUACGCAACCUUGUCCACCUCUCCUGUGUCGGCCUGCGCCCCGUGCUUGUGCACGGCGGUGGUCCGGAGAUCAACUCCUAGCUGUAGCACAUCGGUGUCGAGCUGCAGUUCCGCAAAGGCCUCUGCGUGAUCGACGCUCUCACCGUUGAGGUCGUCGAGAUGGUGCUGGUCAGCAAGGUCAACAUCAACAGGCAACUCGUCUCCCUCAUCAGCCUCACCGGUGCCACCGCCGUCGGCCUCUGUGGCAAGGACGCACUCCUCACUGCGCGCCCUUCUCCUGACACUGUAGCCCUCGGGUUCGUCGGCGAGGUGACGCGCGUACACCUCUCCAUGCUCCACCCGAUCAUUGCGUCCUGCCAGAUCCUAGUCAUCGCCACCGUGGCCGCCGAUGAGACUGGGUAGGCCUACAACAUCAACGUCGACACUGCUGCGGGGGAGAUCGCAGCUGCCAUUGGCGCUGAGAAGCUGUUGCUUUUUUUUUGA